GACGAACGCUGGCGGCGUGCCUAAUACAUGCAAGUAGAACGCUGAAGCUUGGUGCUUGCACCGAGCGGAUGAGUUGCGAACGGGUGAGUAACGCGUAGGUAACCUGCCUGGUAGCGGGGGAUAACUAUUGGAAACGAUAGCUAAUACCGCAUAAGAGUAGAUGUUGCAUGACAUUUGCUUAAAAGGUGCAAUUGCAUCACUACCAGAUGGACCUGCGUUGUAUUAGCUAGUUGGUGAGGUAACAGCUCACCAAGGCAACGAUACAUAGCCGACCUGAGAGGGUGGUCGGCCAACCUGGGAAUGAGACAAGGCCCAGACUUCUAAGGGAGGCAGCAGUAGGGGAUCUUCGGCAAAGGGCGGAAGUCUGACCGGAGAACGCCGGGUGGGUGAAGAAAGGUUUCGGAUCGUAAAGCUCUGUUGUAAGGGAAGAACGAGUGGGGGAGUGGAAAGUUCACGCUGUGACGGUACCUUAUCAGAAAGGGACGGCUAACUACGUG
This 497-nucleotide ribosomal RNA is filed under the name uncultured bacterium. RNAcentral's name for it is "partial 16S ribosomal RNA". It matches the Rfam family "Bacterial small subunit ribosomal RNA", at positions 28 to 507 of the family's 1533-position model. The record is from RNAcentral.